UUCUUUACUGUCCCCCUCCCUCCCCAUCACCUUUAUUUUGAUGCUAUUUACUUGUGGAAGGAAUGAGGUCAUGCAACCCGUGGAGUUCCCCACUUUCAGAAUCUGGCUGGCUGACUUGUCCAUUGUGGUGUCAUUAAACACAUUCCUCCACCCCCUGUGAGUACUGCAGGUAAAGGCUGGACUAUUGUCUAUCUGUCCUGCAAUCUGCCUGACCAGCCACCCCACCAAAAAAGGAAGUAAAAAUGACAGAUGAGUCACCAUGAGCACUGGUGCUGAAGAAAAUACAGCCCUGAGCAGGACCACACCUCCCCCUCAUGGACUUACUCCCAGGAGAGGGAAGCGAGAGAACAUACACAGGCCCACUGUGGAGCUUCCCCCAGGAAACAAAACGGAUGGGAUGGAACUUCCGGACAUCUCAUUAGGAAGCCCUGAGGCAGAGACUGCGCCAUCAGCCCCAAAACAGGAGAGCAACACCGCCCCCCUCCACAGCCCCAGGAAGGAUUUACGCCUGCCCUGUCCAGUCUCACCCCUACCCUGACAUGGAAUCUUACAAGGAAACUGGCUGCUAUAAUCAGAGCAUCAACCCAGAAGUCCCAAGAAGAAUGUAUUCAGAAGAAAUUCAGAAGAAUGGCACACUCCCUCUUACAAUUAAAAAAAUUAGUAUUAAAAAAUUCUCUAUGCUACAUAUUUUAUACCUAUAUAUCCACCGAGGAUGAUGCAGAGCAAAGAUCUGGAAGGCCAACCUCUACCUGUAAGUGGUUACCCCAGGGAGGGGAGUGACAGUGUGUGUAUGUGUGUGUGUGUGUGUGUGUGAUCCUAUCAUUGACUCCGAAGCUCCAAAACUUCCCAAAGUCACGUGCCUCACCUGUACACCUGCAGACCACCUGUACUAUUAUUUACUUAAGUUAGUCCUUUCAACCAACUCACUUACUAAAACCUUAAUAAGACCAGUGUGGGAUUCGUUAUAUUUUUUCUAAUACUCAUCAAACAAAAUGCACAAAUAUGAGCAUCUGUAAAGCCUGCGUAUCAAUGGAAGUGAACUCUGGUACCAGAAAUGUGCUGACAUCAAAGCCAGAAUGCAGCUUUGAGACAUGACUCUGAGCAAAAGAGGCAGACACAGAACAAUGUGCAUAAUUUACAAUUCUGUUUGUAUAAAGUUGAAAAACAGGCAAAAUGAAACCAUGUUACUUAUACUCUCAUCUGUGAACAAACCUUCAAAAGGCAAGAAAUGGGGACAUGGAAGUCUGGGAGAGGAGUGGC
Leopardus geoffroyi (Geoffroy's cat) is the source of this 1260-nucleotide long non-coding RNA. RefSeq lists it as uncharacterized. The record is from RefSeq and is a predicted model, not a curated record. The transcript has 4 exons. Lineage: Eukaryota; Metazoa; Chordata; Mammalia; Carnivora; Felidae.